Chiloscyllium plagiosum (whitespotted bambooshark) is the source of this 1264-nucleotide non-coding RNA. NCBI's taxonomy places the organism in Eukaryota, Metazoa, Chordata, Chondrichthyes, Orectolobiformes, Hemiscylliidae. The record is from RefSeq and is a predicted model, not a curated record.
CCUUAAUCAACUGUACCCUAUAAACUGUGACUCCCUUGUCAGUCACAAAACUGUCUGAGCCUUGAAUAUGUUCAAAUAAAAUGGAGGAGAUGAUGCCAGACCUGCAGAGAUUCUCCAGCAUGUUGCAGUGUUUGUUGAUAAAGGAGCCUUUUGCCAACAAUGCUUUCUGGUCUGCAGCAGGAUAGGUGUUAAGCUUCAAAAAUGUGUGAGCAAUGGACCUACAAUGACAAUGCACUACCGAGACUGAUUGGUUAAAGAGGGCAAUACACAAAAUUCAUAGCAGGUCCAUCGGAAUUUGAAAAAUGGAAGACAGUUUCAUGUUUUAGACACGAUCUUUUUCAGAACUGAAGAAAGGUUUCCACUCUUUGCACUUGACUUUCCUUUCAUGGUGCAGGAUUUAAGGGAAACUUACUUGGUAUUGAAUGACUUCCAACCGAAGCAGCAAUAUUAGCAGGAGCUGACUGACACUGGCUACUGUCAACAACUGAAAGUAGUUGGCUUCAAAUGUGAAAAGGGCAGCAUAUUUGAAGAAUGCUAAUAGACUCAUAGAUGUUUACAGUGCAGAAAGAGGCCGUUCCACCCAUUAUGUUCAUACUGGUCAACAAAAAUCUAACCCCAAUAAUCCCAUUUUCCAGUUCUUGGCCCAUAGCCCUGGAAGCUGUGGCAAUGCAAGUGAAUAUGUAUUGUCUGUUUAUAUGUUCAAUAUAUUAAUUUAUAUAUGUACCAAUAAAUAUUUAUUAAUGCUUAUUUUGUUUAACUUUUUUUAAAAAAUGCAAUAAUUCUAGUCUUGUGUUUCUUUCAAACAAUUGUAACGACACAUCAGCUGAAUUGGACAUCACUGCAGUUAUUCCAAAUGCUUGUUAUUUGAUUCAAAAACGGUGAAGUUGACUUUUCUGGAGGAAAUAGCUUGCCCGGGUUCAAUGGGAAACAAUUUUGCAAAAUGAUUAAGUUGUGUUGGGCAGAGAGGGGGUGAUUCUCGGUACAGCUUUGAUCAUUCUUACCUGAGGCUAUCUGAAGCCUCUCUCCAGUGGCAAGUUUCCUCUGUUUACAGUUAAUUAGUCUGGGUCUGUCUGCAGGGGUAAUGUGGAGAGGGCAAGUGCAGGAUAUCUGUCUAAGGUGGAGAUGCAUAUUUUAUGUUGCAUGCCUUCACAUCCUCAUCUUCCUUUAUUGCAACGAGAGGAUGCAUGAUAUUUCCAUAUGGUGCACAUGGUUAAGAUCAGAUUGCUGUAUUGCAAAAUUAUAUGGCAUUGUGCAAUCAUUUACA